GAUGAACGCUGGCGGCGUGCCUAAUACAUGCAAGUCGAGCGAACAGACGAGGAGCUUGCUCCUCUGACGUUAGCGGCGGACGGGUUAGUAACACGUGGAUAACCUACCUAUAAGACUGGGAUAACUUCGGGAAACCGGAGCUAAUACCGGAUAAUAUAUUGAACCGCAUGGUUCAAUAGUGAAAGACGGUUUUGCUGUCACUUAUAGAUGGAUCCGCGCCGCAUUAGCUAGUUGGUAAGGUAACGGCUUACCACGGGAACGAUGCGUAGCCGACCGACGAGGCUGAUUCCCCCCACGAGAGCGGAGACACGCCACAUAACCACACGGACGACAGCAGUAGGGAAUCUGCGGCAGCGGGCGACAGACUGACAGAGGCACACUGAGCAAGUGAGGAAGGUCUUCGGGUCGUAUUACUCUGAUAUUAUGUAAGAACAAAUGUGUAAGAAACCAUACAAGUCUUGAAGGUACCUAAUAAGAAAGACACGGCUAACUACGUG
Molecule: ribosomal RNA, 497 nt
Filed under: uncultured bacterium
Lineage: Bacteria
Description: partial 16S ribosomal RNA
Rfam family: Bacterial small subunit ribosomal RNA
Source: RNAcentral